UGGUGUNGCUCAGUUGGUAGAGAGCUUGCCUGGCAUGCAGGAAGGCCUGGGUUUGAGCCCNAGCGUCA
Molecule: transfer RNA, 68 nt
Filed under: Neotoma lepida (desert woodrat)
Lineage: Eukaryota; Metazoa; Chordata; Mammalia; Rodentia; Cricetidae
Rfam family: tRNA
About the family: Transfer RNA (tRNA) molecules are approximately 80 nucleotides in length. Their secondary structure includes four short double-helical elements and three loops (D, anti-codon, and T loops). Further hydrogen bonds mediate the characteristic L-shaped molecular structure. tRNAs have two regions of fundamental functional importance: the anti-codon, which is responsible for specific mRNA codon recognition, and the 3' end, to which the tRNAs corresponding amino acid is attached (by aminoacyl-tRNA synthetases). tRNAs cope with the degeneracy of the genetic code in two manners: having more than one tRNA (with a specific anti-codon) for a particular amino acid; and 'wobble' base-pairing, i.e. permitting non-standard base-pairing at the 3rd anti-codon position.
Source: Rfam by way of RNAcentral